This 328-nucleotide ribosomal RNA is filed under the name uncultured eukaryote. Its description in RNAcentral is "partial 18S ribosomal RNA". It matches the Rfam family "Eukaryotic small subunit ribosomal RNA", at positions 1470 to 1796 of the family's 1831-position model. The record is from RNAcentral.
CCCUUAGAUGUCCUGGGCCGCACGCGCGUUACACUGAUGCAUUCAACGAGCCUAUAACCUUGGCCGAGAGGCCUGGGCAAUCUUGUUAACGUGCAUCGUGAUAGGGAUAGAUUAUUGAAAUUAUUAAUCUUGAACGAGGAAUUCCUAGUAAACGCAGAUCAUCAAUCUGCAUUGAUUACGUCCCUGCCCUUUGUACACACCGCCCGUCGCACCUACCGAUUGGAUGGUCCGGUGAGGCCUCGGGAUUGUGGUUCUUGCCGCUUUAUUGUGGCGUGACCGCGAGAACUUGUCUAAACCUUAUCAUCUAGAGGAAGGUGAAGUCGUAACA